RNAcentral lists this ribosomal RNA (492 nucleotides) under uncultured bacterium. RNAcentral's name for it is "partial 16S ribosomal RNA". It matches the Rfam family "Bacterial small subunit ribosomal RNA", at positions 29 to 507 of the family's 1533-position model. The record is from RNAcentral.
AGUGAACGCUGGCGGUAGGCCUAACACAUGCAAGUCGAACGGCAGCACAGUAAGAGCUUGCUCUUACGGGUGGCGAGUGGCGGACGGGUGAGGAAUACAUCGGAAUCUACUUUUUCGUGGGGGAUAACGUAGGGAAACUUACGCUAAUACCGCAUACGGCCUACGGGUGAAAGCAGGGGAUCUUCGGACCUUGCGCGAUUGAAUGAGCCGAUGUCGGAUUAGCUAGUUGGCGGGGUAAAGGCCCACCAAGGCGACGAUCCGUAGCUGGUCUGAGAGGAUGACAAGCAACACUGGAACUGAGACACGGUCCAGACUCCUACGGGAGGCAGCAGUGGGGAAUAUUGGACAAUGGGCGCAAGCCUGAUCCAGCCAUACCGCGUGGGUGAAGAAGGCCUUCGGGUUGUAAAGCCCUUUUGUUGGGAAAGAAAAGCAGCAGGUUAAUACCCCGCUGUUCUGACGGUACCCAAAGAAUAAGCACCGGCUAACUUCGUG